AUUAACGCUAGCGGCAGGCCUAAUACAUGCAAGUCGAACGGGAUUUCGGGUAGCAAUAUCUGAAUGAGAGUGGCGCACGGGUGCGUAACGCGUAUGCAAUCUACCUCUGACUGGGGAAUAGCCCUCCGAAAGGAGGAUUAACACCGCAUAACACUAUGAAGGGGCAUCUCUUUAUAGUCAAAACUCUGGUGGUCGGAGAUGAGCAUGCGUCCGAUUAGCUAGUUGGUGAGGUAACGGCUCACCAAGGCAACGAUCGGUAGGGGGUCUGAGAGGAUGAUCCCCCACACUGGUACUGAGACACGGACCAGACUCCUACGGGAGGCAGCAGUAAGGAAUAUUGGACAAUGGGCGCAAGCCUGAUCCAGCCAUGCCGCGUGAAGGAUGACUGCCCUAUGGGUUGUAAACUUCUUUUAGCAGGGAAAAAACCUCUUGACGUGUCAAGAGCUGAUGGUACCUGCAGAAUAAGGAUCGGCUAACUCCGUG
RNAcentral lists this ribosomal RNA (483 nucleotides) under uncultured bacterium. Its description in RNAcentral is "bacterial SSU rRNA". It matches the Rfam family "Bacterial small subunit ribosomal RNA", at positions 29 to 507 of the family's 1533-position model. The record is from RNAcentral.